Molecule: ribosomal RNA, 1465 nt
Filed under: Burkholderia cenocepacia
Lineage: Bacteria; Pseudomonadati; Pseudomonadota; Betaproteobacteria; Burkholderiales; Burkholderiaceae
Description: bacterial SSU rRNA
Rfam family: Bacterial small subunit ribosomal RNA
Source: RNAcentral
GUUUUAUAUUAUUAUUAUGACUAAUUUUUUUUGCCCCAUGCAGUCGAACGGAGCACGGGUCUUGCACCUGGUGGCGAGUGGCGAACGGGUGAGUAAUACAUCGGAACAUGUCCUGUAGUGGGGGAUAGCCCGGCGAAAGCCGGAUUAAUACCGCAUACGAUCCACGGAUGAAAGCGGGGGACCUUCGGGCCUCGCGCUAUAGGGUUGGCCGAUGGCUGAUUAGCUAGUUGGUGGGGUAAAGGCCUACCAAGGCGACGAUCAGUAGCUGGUCUGAGAGGACGACCAGCCACCUGGGACUGAGACCGGCCCAGACUCCUACGGGAGGCAGCCGUGGGGAAUUUUGGACAAUGGGCGAAAGCCUGAUCCAGCAAUGCCGCGUGUGUGAAGAAGGCCUUCGGGUUGUAAAGCACUUUUGUCCGGAAAGAAAUCCUUGCCUCUAAUACAGUCGGGGGAUGACGGUACCGGAAGAAUAAGCACCGGCUUAACUACGUGCCAGCAGCCGCGGUAAUACGUAGGGUGCAAGCGUUAAUUCGGAAUUACUGGGCGUAAAGGGUGCGCAGGCGGUUUGCUAAGUCCGAUGUGAAAUCCCCGGGCUCAACCUGGGAAGUGCAUUGGUGACUGGCAGGCUAGAGUAUGGCAGAGGGGGGUAGAAUUCCACGUGUAGCAGUGAAAUGCGUAGAGAUGUGGAGGAAUACCGAUGGCGAAGGCAGCCCCCUGGGUCCAAUAACUGACGCUCAUGCACGAAAGCGUGGGGAGCAAACAGGAUUAGAUACCCUGGUAGUCCACGCCCUAAACGAUGUCAGCUAGUUGUUGGGGGUUUCCUCUCCUUAGUAACGCAGCUAACGCGUUAAGCAGUCCGCCUGGGGAGUACGGUCGCAAGAUUAAAACUCAAAGGAAUUGACGGGGACCCGCACAAGCGGUGGAUGCAUGUGGAUUAAUUCGAAGCAACGCGAAGAACCUUACCUAGGUCUUGACAUCGUCGGACAUCCUGCUGAGAGGGUGGGACGUGCUCGAAAGGGAACCAGAGCGACAGGUGCUGCAUGGUUGUCGUCAGCUCGUGUCGUGAGAUGUUGGGUUAAGUCCCGGCAACGAGCGCAACCCUUUGUCCUUAGUUGCCAGCAUUCAAGUUGGGCACUCUAAGGAGAACUGCCGGUGACAAACCGGAGGAAGGUGGGGAUGACCGUCAAAUCCUCAUGGCCCUUAUGGCUAGGGCUUCACACGUGCAUACAAUGGUCGGAACAAGAGGGUUGCCAACCCGCGAGGGGGAGCCAAUCCCACAAAACCGUUCGUCAGUUCGGAUUGCACUCUGCAACUCGACUGCGUGAAGCUGGAAUCGCUAGUAAUCGCGGAUCAGCAUGCCGCGGUGAAUACGUUCCCGGGCCUUGUACACACCGCCCGUCACACCAUGGGAGUGGGUAUUACCAGAAGUCGGCUGAGGCUAACCGCAUAGGAGCCCGCCCCCGAA